UCUAACCGGAGCGUGAGUAAACGAGCCGAGUUUUUUUUUUCUCUCCGGCCUUUUCUCCACCGAAUCUUAUCUUCCCAUCCUGCGCGUCAUCAGCGCUGUGCCUCCGUCCCAAUCUUAUCCGCCGCCGCCGCCACCGUCAUCCGCUCGAGCUCUCCCUCCGCGCCGUGCUCCGCCUGUCGCCCCCCUCCACGCCCGGCGGCUGCUCCUCUUCGGCGUCCGGGGCGGGCUACCUCGACGACGACGCGGACGACGAGGAGACCACCCUCGCCUUUCCGCGUCCGCCCCUGGCUCCUCUGGCGCCGCCGCGGCUCCAGGCGGUUCCGCGCCGGGGACCGCCUCGUCGACCUGGCGUGGGACCUCUCGCACGCGCGGUUCGCGGUCCUCGGGAUUCUUCGCCGCCGUCGUCGACGGCGAGAUGGUCCUCGCGGCCGGCGACCUGCCCGACGCGGCCUACCGUAGGACCCGGGCCCGGCGCCCGUCCGGCCCGCGCCAGCGGCUUGUUUACUGGACUAGGUUCUUCAUCAUUCUCACUGCCUUCUCAAAUGCUCAGAUUGAUGCUAUCAGCUCCAAGAUGAGAGAUAUUGGUGAUAAGCAGUUUAGCAAAGUUGCAUCACCAAAUUCUUGGACUUUACUGGACUUUGUACUUGGUUCAUCGGACCCGCUUGAUGAUAAAUUGUGGUUAUUCCCAUCAAAAUUGUUCAGGGCACUGGAGCAGAGUGACAGGGAGACAAACUCAUAAGACACAGGCACAGGAGCAGAUUUAUUAGGCAAAUGAGCUUGUGAUCUAUAGCAGCAGCAAAGAGGUACCUGCCAGUUUCCAUGCCCAUGCUCGAGAUGAUUUUGUUAGAUUGAAAAUUGAUUUUUUCAGCGGUUCUGUUAUAAAAAGGAGCUUGCUAUGCCAACAUGAGAAAAAAGAUAUCACCAGAGCUACCAAUAACGGUGAAAGAUAUAGUAAAUGGUCGUUUCAUGUAACUAUAUGAGCAUAUUGUGAAAGUAUUUGCUCCAAAAUGUGAAUCUCCAUCAUACUGAAUGCUAUAGUACUGGUACAAUAUCGCUCUCCAAGAACUUUCCUCUUGAGAUAACAAAGGGCUACUUUUUUAAUUUGUUUUUACGAUGACAAAGUACUACUAUACUUAUAAAUACUGAUGUUCAGCUGUUUCUUUUUUUCCAUAUAUGCUACUCUCUCAACUAUACAUACCUGAAAGAACUGACAACCAUGGCCUUCUGACUUGUGUUGCAGAUGAGAUUGAACCAAACAUUGCUAGUCCUGAGGUACUCUUCACUAUGGUACCUCCAUGCCAAUGCUGGCAAAGCCAACCUCGUGCCUGGAUCUACUUGAGCUCAGAGGCAUCAACUACUAGGAAGUGACACUGCCCACAUGGAGCUAUUGAAUGUUUCCAUUUUCUGAUCCAUAGGGUUAGUCUCACCAGUUUACCAAAUAAGGUCCUGCUGGACAUAUAUGUGGCACACAUGCCUCCAUCUUGAUCUUCAUUGCUGAUGAUUACAGUCAAAAGAAAUACUGACGCAUAGUGCCUUCAUUGCCAUAUUUUUCCAUGUGUUCUGUUCCCAGGAUCAGUGUAUAUUGCUGUCUUUAGCCAUGCCAAUAUCUUAUAUAGACGUUUGAAUUUA
RNA transcript from Setaria italica (foxtail millet), 1629 nucleotides. It is a transcript of the gene named protein Iojap, chloroplastic, with no coding region annotated. The transcript is spliced from 7 exons. Lineage: Eukaryota; Viridiplantae; Streptophyta; Magnoliopsida; Poales; Poaceae. The record is from RefSeq and is a predicted model, not a curated record.